Molecule: long non-coding RNA, 390 nt
Organism: Pelodiscus sinensis (Chinese soft-shelled turtle)
Lineage: Eukaryota; Metazoa; Chordata; Testudines; Trionychidae
Source: RefSeq, a predicted model, not a curated record
GGGAUUUUUCAAUUUGAUGGCAGUUUUGAAGAGUAAGAAAGAAAAAAAAUCCAUUAUGAUUUCAUCAGUGAGUUGGGUGACAAAUAGCUGACAUCAUGAUUCUUAGAAUGAAACACAACAGCUAGAAUGGUGGGAAGAGGGAGCCAGAUGAAAAGGUUGCAGCUGUGCUGAUUAGCCAAUAAGGUGAACAUUAACAGCAGAGAGGAUGGCUGAUACGCUGAAGAAGCUUUCUGGUGGUUGAUUAGCAGAGGAAGCAAUGAAGAAAGACAUGCCCAGAAAGGAGAAAAAGAAGAAUUUGUGGAACCAACAUGCUGAGAUACUGUGUCCCAGUUCUGGCGUUUACCCUUUAAAUAAAAAGGAUAUUGACAAAUUGGAAGAGAAAGAAUGAUA